GACGAACGCUGGCGGCGUGCUUAACACAUGCAAGUCGAACGGUGAAGCGCCUUCCUUUUUGGUGGGUGUGGAUGAGUGGCGAACGGGUGAGUAACACGUGAGUAACCUGCCCCCUUCUUCUGGAUAACCGCAUGAAAGUGUGGCUAAUACGGGAUAUUCUGGGUCUGUCGCAUGAUGGGUCUGGGAAAGAUAUUGUUUCGGUGGGGGAUGGGCUCGCGGCCUAUCAGCUUGUUGGUGGGGUGAUGGCCUACCAAGGCGGUGACGGGUAGCCGGCCUGAGAGGGUGGACGGUCACACUGGGACUGAGGCACGGCCCAGACUCCUACGGGAGGCAGCAGUGGGGAAUAUUGCACAAUGGGCGCAAGCCUGAUGCAGCGACGCCGCGUGAGGGAUGGAGGCCUGCGGGUUGUGAACCUCUUUCGCCAGUGAAGCAGGCCUGCCUCGUUUGUGGGUGGGUUGACGGUAGCUGGAUAAGAAGCGCCGGCUAACUACGUG
RNAcentral lists this ribosomal RNA (494 nucleotides) under uncultured bacterium. RNAcentral's name for it is "partial 16S ribosomal RNA". It matches the Rfam family "Bacterial small subunit ribosomal RNA", at positions 28 to 507 of the family's 1533-position model. The record is from RNAcentral.